CUAACCAGGAUUCCCCUAGUAACGGCGAGUGAAGAGGGAAGAGCCCAGCACCGAAGCCUGCGGUAGGUUUACUGUUAGGCAAUGUGGUGUUUGGGUCGGCUCGUUGGAUUGCCACUCCACUCGAAGUCCAGCAUUGAGUAUGGUCUACUGGAUUUGGCCCAGAGAGGGUGAAAGGCCCGUACGGGUGGAGGUAUCAGACAAGUGAGGCAGUUCACCAGGCCGGCCUUAGAGUCGGGUUGUUUGGGAAUGCAGCCCAAAGCGGGUGGUAAACUCCAUCCAAGGCUAAAUACUAGCACGAGUCCGAUAGCAAA
This 311-nucleotide ribosomal RNA is filed under the name Caulobothrium sp. 1 YVS-2018. RNAcentral describes it as "partial small subunit ribosomal RNA". It matches the Rfam family "Eukaryotic large subunit ribosomal RNA", at positions 65 to 344 of the family's 3401-position model. Lineage: Eukaryota; Metazoa; Platyhelminthes; Cestoda; Tetraphyllidea. The record is from RNAcentral.